CCACGUAAAUUUAUUACUGCAAAGCUUUCGAUCCGUAAGGCCGGAUCUUCAUCAGUGCUAAUAAUUACGGAUCGAAAGCUUUGCAGUAAUAAAUUUACGUGGUGUUUCCA
Molecule: non-coding RNA, 110 nt
Organism: Paramuricea clavata
Lineage: Eukaryota; Metazoa; Cnidaria; Anthozoa; Malacalcyonacea; Plexauridae
Source: the annotation of a GenBank genome assembly